RNAcentral lists this ribosomal RNA (425 nucleotides) under uncultured bacterium. RNAcentral describes it as "partial 16S ribosomal RNA". It matches the Rfam family "Bacterial small subunit ribosomal RNA", at positions 354 to 796 of the family's 1533-position model. The record is from RNAcentral.
GUGGGGAAUCUUAGACAAUGGGCGCAAGCCUGAUCUAGCCAUGCCGCGUGAGUGAUGAAGGCCUUAGGGUUGUAAAGCUCUUUCAGUGGGGACGAUAAUGACGGUACCCACAGAAGAAGCCCCGGCUAACUUCGUGCCAGCAGCCGCGGUAAUACGAAGGGGGCUAGCGUUGUUCGGAUUUACUGGGCGUAAAGCGCACGUAGGCGGAUCGUUAAGUCGGGGGUGAAAUCCUGGAGCUCAACUCCAGAACUGCCUUCGAUACUGGCGAUCUUGAGUGCGGAAGAGGUGAGUGGAACUCCUAGUGUAGAGGUGGAAUUCGUAGAUAUUAGGAAGAACACCAGUGGCGAAGGCGGCUCACUGGUCCGGUACUGACGCUGUGGUGCGAAAGCGUGGGGAGCAAACAGGAUUAGAAACCCUAGUAGUCC